GUGGGGAAUUUUGGACAAUGGGCGCAAGCCUGAUCCAGCAAUGCCGCGUGCAGGAAGAAGGCCUUCGGGUUGUAAACUGCUUUUGUACGGAACGAAAAGACUCCUUCUAAUAAAGGGGGUCCAUGACGGUACCGUAAGAAUAAGCACCGGCUAACUACGUGCCAGCAGCCGCGGUAAUACGUAGGGUGCAAGCGUUAAUCGGAAUUACUGGGCGUAAAGCGUGCGCAGGCGGUUAUAUAAGACAGAUGUGAAAUCCCCGGGCUCAACCUGGGAACUGCAUUUGUGACUGUAUAGCUAGAGUACGGUAGAGGGGGAUGGAAUUCCGCGUGUAGCAGUGAAAUGCGUAGAUAUGCGGAGGAACACCGAUGGCGAAGGCAAUCCCCUGGACCUGUACUGACGCUCAUGCAUGAAAGCGUGGGGAGCAAACAGGAUUAGAAACCCUUGUAGUCC
RNAcentral lists this ribosomal RNA (450 nucleotides) under uncultured bacterium. RNAcentral's name for it is "partial 16S ribosomal RNA". It matches the Rfam family "Bacterial small subunit ribosomal RNA", at positions 354 to 796 of the family's 1533-position model. The record is from RNAcentral.